This 433-nucleotide ribosomal RNA is filed under the name uncultured bacterium. RNAcentral describes it as "partial 16S ribosomal RNA". It matches the Rfam family "Bacterial small subunit ribosomal RNA", at positions 29 to 507 of the family's 1533-position model. The record is from RNAcentral.
AACGAACGCUGGCGGCAUGCCUAACACAUGCAAGUCGAACGAGACCUUCGGGUCUAGUGGCGCACGGGUGCGUAACGUGUGGGAACCUUCCCUUAGGUUCGGAAUAACUCCCCGAAAGGGGUGCUAAUACCGGAUAAUGUCUUCGGACCAAAGAUUUAUCGCCUUUGGAUGGGCCCGCGUUGGAUUAGCUAGUUGGUAGGGUAAAAGCCUACCAAGGCGACGAUCCAUAGCUGGUCUGAGAGGAUGAUCAGCCACACUGGGACUGAGACACGGCCCAGACUCCUACGGGAAGCAGCAGUGGGGAAUAUUGGACAAUGGGCGAAAGCCUGAUCCAGCAAUGCCGCGUGAGUGAUGAAGGCCUUAGGGUUGUAAAGCUCUUUUACCCGGGAUGAUAAUGACAGUACCGGGAGAAUAAGCUCCGGCUAACUCCGUG